RNAcentral lists this unclassified non-coding RNA (2333 nucleotides) under Camponotus floridanus (Florida carpenter ant). Its description in RNAcentral is "dNA helicase MCM8, transcript variant X1". Lineage: Eukaryota; Metazoa; Arthropoda; Insecta; Hymenoptera; Formicidae. The record is from RNAcentral.
UAUUAUUGAAUAUUAUGUGUGAUAAAGCAAAUUAUUAUAAAAAGAAAUGGAAAGGGAUGAAAACUGCCAAAUCACAUAAUAAUAUAUCAUAUCAAAACAAAGCAGAUUAUAAUCUCGACAUUGGUAGGAAUAUAGAUAUUCCAUAUUAUGGAUGGAGGUUGUUUUUUCCUGACAAAGAAUAUAAAACUAAUAGUGCUAUUACAAAGCAAAUUAAAGCUGUAGAGGCAUUUAUAGAAAGACAUGAAGUAUUAUCUUCAUUGUUUACUAUGGCAAAUUUGGAAGUAGGAAUGUCUUUUGACAUUGACAUCUGUGAACUAUAUGAGGAUAGUGAAUUUAUGAAGCAAUGGCCAAAUUUUAAGCAUGAAAUUCAUGAAAAUCCAAUGAACAUAUUAAAUUGUAUAAAACUUGGUAUUCAUCAGAAAAUUUUGAAAACAGUGCCAGAAGAAAAUUUACAGUAUGUUUUGAAUUCUAUUAGCAGUUUACCAACAAUCAAAUUAAGUAUAUUAAACUAUCAACCAAUUAUAUGUUUGCGAGACCUUAAGCUAAAUUAUUAUGAGCGAUUGGUGUCUACCAGAGGUUGUGUAAUAAGGGUUGGUAGAAUAAAACAUCUCAUACAAUGGAUGGUAUUUGGUUGUUCCAAAUGUCAUUUGCAAAAAUUAAUCAAACAGUCUCAAGAAAUAUAUACUUUACCAAAAAAAUGUGAUACUUGUGGUACAUCAAAGUUUUAUCCAGUGUUGGAUUCACCUUUCGUGAAAAGUAUUUUAUUCCAGAUCAUCAGGAUACAAGAACCAUUAAAUGAUGAGCAGAUAGAGAAUAAAGGUAAAGUGCCUAAAGUACUCGAUGUGGAACUUAUGGAUAAUUUAGUUAAUAUUUGUAUGCCUGGGGACGAUAUAACACUUACAGGCAUUAUUAAGGUACAAGGAGUCGAUGAUGCAACUAAAAUACAAGUUGGGACUCCGUUUUCUCUAUAUAUGAAAGCAAUAACAGUUAUCAAUAACAAACGUAAAUGUCAAAAUAAGAGUUCUAUGAAUAAUGAAAUUUCUUUAAAAAAUUAUUUGGCCAUACAGAAUAUAUAUAAAGAACCAAAUAUUUUUGCAUUAUUAGUACAUUCGUUAUGCCCUAGUAUAUAUGGCCAUGAAAUGAUAAAAGCUGGAUUGAUAUUGAGUUUAUUUGGGGGUAAUAUAAAGCGCGCGCAGUUACGAGAUGGCAUACAUAUUUUGUUAAUCGGAGAUCCUGGUCUUGGCAAAUCGCAGAUGUUACAAGCAUGUGCUCGAAUAUCUACAAAAGGCGUAUAUAUUUGUGGCAAUUCAAGUACAUCCUCUGGAUUAACGGUGACACUUACAAAAGAAACUGGAUCGAAUGAUUUUGCUUUAGAACCUGGUGCUUUGGUUUUAGCAGAUCAAGGUUGUUGUUGCAUCGACGAAUUUGAUAAAAUAUGUUCUCAACAUCAGGCAUUAUUAGAAUCAAUGGAACAACAAAGUGUCACCGUUGCAAAAUCAGGUAUAAUAUCUUCUUUUCCCGCACGGACAUCAAUUCUAGCAGCAGCUAAUCCUAUCGGAGGGCAAUAUGACAAAAGCAAAACAAUAACUGAAAAUUUAAAUAUUAAUCAGCCUAUCCUUUCGCGAUUUGAUUUAAUUUUUUUAUUAUUGGAUAAACCAGAUAAGCAUUUCGAUAAUUUGUUAUGCAAACAUAUUAUGACAGUUCAUACCAAUUCACAUACAAAUUUCAAUCAAGAAGCUAUAGACUCAUCUGUUAAUGAUUGUUCCUUAAGGAAAAAGUUAAUGUUACCAUUAUCUACUGAGAUCAUCCCACAGCCUAUUCUUCGAAGUUAUAUUUCCUAUGCACGACAAUAUGUGAAACCAAAAUUGUCAGCCAAAGCUGCAGCAGUAUUACAAAGUUAUUAUUUAGAACUUCGAUUAAAAAAUAAACAAUUUGGAAACAUACCUAUAUUUAAUAGACAAUUAGAAGCCAUGAUUCGUUUGACUGAGGCUAGAGCAAAACUGGAAUUACGUAUUGAAGCAACCGAAUCAGAUGCAUUAGAUGUAAUAGAUAUAUUGCGAUAUACAAUGAUAGAUACAUCAGAAGAUUGUAUAACAUCAAAUUUAAAUUCUGAUGGUAAAUUAACAAACAAAAAAGAAACCAUGUGAAUGGGACGAACCACUUUGUCCACCUAUGGUAUAUUGUCCUAUAGAAUUAUCAUCUUGUAGUCAGCCUUAUCAUAAGAUACAAAUGUGAGUGUAUUAAAAGAAAUGGUCUACAAGAUAGAUGUAUGAUGUGGGAUUGUAUGGGUAGACCAGAAUGUAUGACAAAACUGUAUCCAGUUUGCAAACCAG